RNAcentral lists this ribosomal RNA (616 nucleotides) under uncultured bacterium. RNAcentral describes it as "bacterial SSU rRNA". It matches the Rfam family "Bacterial small subunit ribosomal RNA", at positions 338 to 945 of the family's 1533-position model. The record is from RNAcentral.
CCUACGGGAGGCAGCAGUGGGGAAUCUUGCGCAAUGGGCGAAAGCCUGACGCAGCGACGCCGCGUGGGGGAAGAAGGCCUUCGGGUUGUAAACCUCUUUCAGCAGGGACGAAGCCACUCGGGUUAAUAGCCCAGAGGGUGACGGUACCUGCAGAAGAAGCCCCGGCUAACUACGUGCCAGCAGCCGCGGUAAUACGUAGGGGGCAAGCGUUGUCCGGAUUUAUUGGGCGUAAAGAGCGUGUAGGCGGCCAGACAAGUCCGUUGUGAAAACUAGAGGCUUAACCUCUAGACGUCGAUGGAAACUGUUUGGCUAGAGUCCGGAAGAGGAGAAUGGAAUUCCUGGUGUAGCGGUGAAAUGCGCAGAUAUCAGGAAGAACACCCGUGGCUAAGGCGGUUCUCUAGUACGGCACUGACGCUGAGACGCGAAAGCGUGGGGAGCGAACAGGAUUAGAUACCCUGGUAGUCCACGCCGUAAACGAUGGGUGCUAGGUGUGGGGGGUGUCGACUCCCUCCGUGCCGAAGCUAACGCAUUAAGCACCCCGCCUGGGGAGUACGGCCGCAAGGCUAAAACUCAAAUGAAUUGACGGCUGAGACGUGCGAGCGACGACGAGGGAGAG